RNAcentral lists this ribosomal RNA (226 nucleotides) under uncultured fungus. RNAcentral describes it as "partial small subunit ribosomal RNA". The stretch from base 101 to 226 matches the Rfam family "Eukaryotic small subunit ribosomal RNA", at positions 741 to 864 of the family's 1831-position model. Lineage: Eukaryota; Fungi. The record is from RNAcentral.
CGCGUUGUACGAGAUCGGGUCCAGCGAAAGCUGCGUACUCGCUCGCAACGUGCUACCUUCCGGCCCGCGGUGAUGCCCUUCACUGGGUGUCACUCUCGCGAACUGGGACUUUUACCUUGAGGAAAUUAAAGUGUUCAAAGCAGGCUCUACUGGCCUGAAUACGUUAGCAUGGAAUAAUAGAAUAGGACUGGAUGGUUCUAUUUUGUUGGUUUAUAGGACCGCAGUA